AUUGAACGCUGGCGGCAGGCCUAACACAUGCAAGUCGAGCGGAUGAAGGGAGCUUGCUCCUGGAUUCAGCGGCGGACGGGUGAGUAAUGCCUAGGAAUCUGCCUGGUAGUGGGGGAUAACGUCCGGAAACGGGCGCUAAUACCGCAUACGUCCUGAGGGAGAAAGUGGGGGAUCUUCGGACCUCACGCUAUCAGAUGAGCCUAGGUCGGAUUAGCUAGUUGGUGGGGUAAAGGCCUACCAAGGCGACGAUCCGUAACUGGUCUGAGAGGAUGAUCAGUCACACGGGAAUGGAAACCGGGCCCAGCCCCCGAGGGGAGGCGCAGGGGGGAAUUUUGGAAAAAGGGGGAAAGCCCGGACCCAGCCAUGCGGUGUGUGGAAAAAGGGUCAAUGGUUUGUAAAGCAUUUUGAGGUGGGGGAAAGGGCAGUAAUUUAAUCCCUUUCUUUUUGGACUUCCCAAAAAAAAAAAGCACGGGCUAAUUUCGUC
This 484-nucleotide ribosomal RNA is filed under the name uncultured bacterium. Its description in RNAcentral is "partial 16S ribosomal RNA". It matches the Rfam family "Bacterial small subunit ribosomal RNA", at positions 30 to 507 of the family's 1533-position model. The record is from RNAcentral.